This 1157-nucleotide ribosomal RNA is filed under the name uncultured Bacteroides sp. RNAcentral's name for it is "bacterial SSU rRNA". It matches the Rfam family "Bacterial small subunit ribosomal RNA", at positions 10 to 1162 of the family's 1533-position model. Lineage: Bacteria; Pseudomonadati; Bacteroidota; Bacteroidia; Bacteroidales; Bacteroidaceae. The record is from RNAcentral.
AGUUUGAUCCUGGCUCAGGAUGAACGCUAGCUACAGGCUUAACACAUGCAAGUCGAGGGGCAGCAUUUCAGUUUGCUUGCAAACUGGAGAUGGCGACCGGCGCACGGGUGAGUAACACGUAUCCAACCUGCCGAUAACUCGGGGAUAGCCUUUCGAAAGAAAGAUUAAUACCCGAUGGUAUAAUUAGACCGCAUGGUCUAAUUAUUAAAGAAUUUCGGUUAUCGAUGGGGAUGCGUUCCAUUAGGCAGUUGGUGAGGUAACGGCUCACCAAACCUUCGAUGGAUAGGGGUUCUGAGAGGAAGGUCCCCCACAUUGGAACUGAGACACGGUCCAAACUCCUACGGGAGGCAGCAGUGAGGAAUAUUGGUCAAUGGGCGCAGGCCUGAACCAGCCAAGUAGCGUGAAGGAUGACUGCCCUAUGGGUUGUAAACUUCUUUUAUAUGGGAAUAAAGUUUUCCACGUGUGGAAUUUUGUAUGUACCAUAUGAAUAAGGAUCGGCUAACUCCGUGCCAGCAGCCGCGGUAAUACGGAGGAUCCGAGCGUUAUCCGGAUUUAUUGGGUUUAAAGGGAGCGUAGGUGGACAGUUAAGUCAGUUGUGAAAGUUUGCGGCUCAACCGUAAAAUUGCAGUUGAUACUGGCUGUCUUGAGUACAGUAGAGGUGGGCGGAAUUCGUGGUGUAGCGGUGAAAUGCUUAGAUAUCACGAAGAACUCCGAUUGCGAAGGCAGCUCACUGGACUGCAACUGACACUGAUGCUCGAAAGUGUGGGUAUCAAACAGGAUUAGAUACCCUGGUAGUCCACACAGUAAACGAUGAAUACUCGCUGUUUGCGAUAUACAGUAAGCGGCCAAGCGAAAGCAUUAAGUAUUCCACCUGGGGAGUACGCCGGCAACGGUGAAACUCAAAGGAAUUGACGGGGGCCCGCACAAGCGGAGGAACAUGUGGUUUAAUUCGAUGAUACGCGAGGAACCUUACCCGGGCUUAAAUUGCAUUUGAAUAUAUUGGAAACAGUAUAGCCGUAAGGCAAAUGUGAAGGUGCUGCAUGGUUGUCGUCAGCUCGUGCCGUGAGGUGUCGGCUUAAGUGCCAUAACGAGCGCAACCCUUAUCUUUAGUUACUAACAGGUCAUGCUGAGGACUCUAGAGAGACUGCCGUCGUAAG